This 253-nucleotide ribosomal RNA is filed under the name uncultured bacterium. RNAcentral's name for it is "partial 16S ribosomal RNA". It matches the Rfam family "Bacterial small subunit ribosomal RNA", at positions 524 to 776 of the family's 1533-position model. The record is from RNAcentral.
UACGGAGGGUGCAAGCGUUAUCCGGAUUUAUUGGGUUUAAAGGGUGCGUAGGCGGUCUAUUAAGUCAGUGCUGAAAUAUCCCGGCUUAACCGGGAGGGUGGCAUUGAUACUGAUGGACUUGAGUAAAGUUGAGGUUGGCGGAAUUGACGGUGUAGCGGUGAAACGCUUAGAUAUCGUCAAGAACACCUAUUGCGAAGGCAGCUAACUAAGCUUAAACUGACGCUGAGGCACGAAAGUGUGGGGAUCAAACAGG